This 515-nucleotide ribosomal RNA is filed under the name fungal sp. E14509A. RNAcentral describes it as "eukaryotic LSU rRNA". The stretch from base 171 to 324 matches the Rfam family "5.8S ribosomal RNA". The record is from RNAcentral. Lineage: Eukaryota; Fungi.
GCUCUGGGCCCAACCUCCCACCCGUGUCUCUUGCGUACUUUGUUGCUUUGGCGGGCCCACUGGGUCACUCCGGUCGCCGGGGAGCGCUAUGCUCCCGGGCCCGUGCCCGCCAGAGCACCCCUGUGAACCCUGAUGAAGAGAGGCUGUCUGAGUCCCACGAUAAUCGUUAAAACUUUCAACAAUGGAUCUCUUGGUUCCGGCAUCGAUGAAGAACGCAGCGAAAUGCGAUAAGUAAUGUGAAUUGCAGAAUUCCGUGAAUCAUCGAAUCUUUGAACGCACAUUGCGCCCCCUGGCAUUCCGGGGGGCAUGCCUGUCCGAGCGUCAUUUCUGCCCUCAAGCGCGGCUUGUGUGUUGGGCGUGGUCCCCCUGGCUUUGGCGGGGACUUGCCCGAAAGGCAGCGGCGACGUCCCGCCUAGUCCUCGAGCGUAUGGGGCUCUGUCACGCGCUCGGGAGGGACUGGUGGGCGUUGGUCACCCCUUAUUCUUUCUACGGUUGACCUCGGAUCAGGUAGGAGU